GACGAACGCUGGCGGCGUGCUUAACACAUGCAAGUCGAACGGAAAGGCCCUGCUUUUGUGGGGUGCUCGAGUGGCGAACGGGUGAGUAACACGUGAGUAACCUGCCCUUGACUUUGGGAUAACUUCAGGAAACUGGGGCUAAUACCGGAUAGGAGCUCCUGCUGCAUGGUGGGGGUUGGCACGUUUCGGCGGUUGGGGAUGGACUCGCGGCUUAUCAGCUUGUUGGUGGGGUAGUGGCUUACCAAGGCUUUGACGGGUAGCCGGCCUGAGAGGGUGACCGGCCACAUUGGGACUGAGAUACGGCCCAGACUCCUACGGGAGGCAGCAGUGGGGAAUAUUGCACAAUGGGCGGAAGCCUGAUGCAGCAACGCCGCGUGCGGGAUGAAGGCCUUCGGGUUGUAAACCGCUUUCGCCUGUGACGAAGCGUGAGUGACGGUAAUGGGUAAAGAAGCACCGGCUAACUACGUG
RNAcentral lists this ribosomal RNA (468 nucleotides) under uncultured bacterium. RNAcentral describes it as "partial 16S ribosomal RNA". It matches the Rfam family "Bacterial small subunit ribosomal RNA", at positions 28 to 507 of the family's 1533-position model. The record is from RNAcentral.